RNAcentral lists this long non-coding RNA (440 nucleotides) under Brassica napus (rape). RNAcentral's name for it is "long non-coding RNA (BNAP_LNC003898)". Lineage: Eukaryota; Viridiplantae; Streptophyta; Magnoliopsida; Brassicales; Brassicaceae. The record is from RNAcentral.
UAUAGAUAACUAAGAGAUCCGAGUUCGAAUUUGGUAAUAAUCUAGAUAAACACGGCGCGUAGCCACCCGAAUUUUCACAUUCUUUUUUUGGAGAAAGGGAUCACUCACUAUCCUUUAAAAAAAAAAUCUAAAACAUCAAUUACUCUUAUAUCUUAAAAUUGUUCUUUGACUGUAGGAAAGAUGUGUAUUUAACCCAAAAAAAAAAGUUGAAACAUCGUCUUAAGGUGAAACCCAAGACUUUGACAAAAAAAAUGGAGAAAUCCUAGAAGCAAAUCAACAAAAUUUGAAAUAAAUAGCCGUUACAAGAAGCUGAUUAGUACUUUAAUCUCUUAAUCAAAAGAUGUUUUGGCAGAAUAAUGAAAAGACUUGUCAAUUUCACACGACUUCACGUUUCCGCAGAAAUUAGCACAUCCCGCGAUUGACUGAAGGACGUGCAAUGA